RNAcentral lists this ribosomal RNA (252 nucleotides) under uncultured bacterium. RNAcentral's name for it is "partial 16S ribosomal RNA". It matches the Rfam family "Bacterial small subunit ribosomal RNA", at positions 793 to 1050 of the family's 1533-position model. The record is from RNAcentral.
GUCCACGCUGUAAACGAUGGUCACUCGAUAUAUGCACUGGUGCAUGUGUCUAAGCGAAAGCAUUAAGUGACCCACCUGGGAAGUACGCUCGCAAGAGUGAAACUUAAAGGAAUUGACGGGGGUCCGCACAAGCGGUGGAACAUGUGGUUUAAUUCGAUACUACGCGAAGAACCUUACCUAGGCUAGAAUGUAUAUCGCUAUACCAAGAGAUUGGUAGUUUCGUAAGAACGGUAUACAAGGUGCUGCAUGGCU